Molecule: ribosomal RNA, 579 nt
Filed under: uncultured bacterium
Lineage: Bacteria
Description: bacterial SSU rRNA
Rfam family: Bacterial small subunit ribosomal RNA
Source: RNAcentral
GAGUUUGAUCCUGGCUCAGAUUGAACGCUAGCGGGAUGCUUUACACAUGCAAGUCGAACGGCAGCGCGAACUUCGGUUUGGCGGCGAGUGGCGAACGGGUGAGUAAUAUAUCGGAACGUACCCAGUAGCGGGGGAUAACUACUCGAAAGAGUAGCUAAUACCGCAUACGCCCUACGGGGGAAAGGGGGGGAUCGCAAGACCUCUCACUAUUGGAGCGGCCGAUAUCGGAUUAGCUAGUUGGUGGGGUAAAGGCUCACCAAGGCGACGAUCCGUAGCUGGUUUGAGAGGACGACCAGCCACACUGGGACUGAGACACGGCCCAGACUCCUACGGGAGGCAGCAGUGGGGAAUUUUGGACAAUGGGGGAAACCCUGAUCCAGCCAUCCCGCGUGUGCGAUGAAGGCCUUCGGGUUGUAAAGCACUUUUGGCAGGAAAGAAAUCGCAUGGGUUAAUAACCUGUGUGGAUGACGGUACCUGCAGAAUAAGCACCGGCUAACUACGUGCCAGCAGCCGCGGUAAUACGUAGGGUGCAAGCGUUAAUCGGAAUUACUGGGCGUAAAGCGUGCGCAGGCGGUUCGG